Molecule: ribosomal RNA, 393 nt
Filed under: uncultured bacterium
Lineage: Bacteria
Description: partial 16S ribosomal RNA
Rfam family: Bacterial small subunit ribosomal RNA
Source: RNAcentral
AUACGGAGGACGCGAGCGUUAUCCGGAUUCAUUGGGUUUAAAGGGUGCGCAGGCGGCCGUGCAAGUCAGCGGUGAAAGCCCGGGGCCCAACCCCGGAAGUGCCGUUGAUACUGCAUGGCUUGAAUGCGGUCGAGGCGGGCGGAACGUGGCGGGUAGCGGGGGAAUGCGUAGAUAUGCCACAGAACGCCGAUAGCGGAGGCAGCUCGCCAGGCCUGCAUUGACGCUCGGGCACGAAAGCGUGGGGAUCGAACAGGAUUAGAUACCCUGGUAGUCCACGCCGUAAACGAUGGGCGCUCGUCGUCGGCGGCAGACAGUCGGCGGCCAAGCGAAAGCGAUAAGCGCCCCACCUGGGGAGUACGGUCGCAAGGCUGAAACUCAAAUGAAUUGGCGGGG